UAGCCUGGAACGUGGGCGGCACGGAUGAUGAAUUGGUGUUGGGCUGAGACCAGUUUGGUUAUUUUGCUGCUUAAAUUGUUUUUGUUUGGUGGUGUGAAGCAAAACUUAGGGAGCAAGGAGCAUACUGCUAAAAUGAUCAAACUGAGGGGGCAACGAGAUCACCUCUUCACUGGGGCCAAAAACUUAGCUUUGAGGUCAAUUCUGGAGUAAAAAAAAACAAAACAAAAGGGCAGGAGAGGGGGAAACCCACUGCUGCUACUUGUCUGUGGUUUGUCCUCGUGGAUGAGGUGUUGGGAUGGAGGCAUUUCACCACACCCCCUGUCCUAAUUGCCUCCAUCCCUGAGGACACACCAGGGCCAAAUACAGCAGUGGAUGACCAGGAGGAGGAGGAGAAGGAAAGCCAGCCAAAGCCACUUAAGAGAAAAUGAGAGAGAGGAUAGGCUUCUUCAGCUCAUGAAGGAAGACAUGAGGUAGCAGAGUGAGCCAGAGGAGAGGAGAGCACAGGAGAGCAAAGAGAGAACGGACAGGCUCCUCUCUCUACUCAAGAGAUUACUUGAAAAAUAAAAAAAAUACUGAAUGAAU
Molecule: long non-coding RNA, 582 nt
Organism: Thunnus maccoyii (southern bluefin tuna)
Lineage: Eukaryota; Metazoa; Chordata; Actinopteri; Scombriformes; Scombridae
Exons: 3
Source: RefSeq, a predicted model, not a curated record